UACGUAGGGUGCAAGCGUUAAUCGGAAUUACUGGGCGUAAAGCGUGCGCAGGCGGUGAUGUAAGACAGAUGUGAAAUCCCCGGGCUCAACCUGGGAACUGCAUUUGUGACUGCAUCGCUGGAGUACGGCAGAGGGGGAUGGAAUUCCGCGUGUAGCAGUGAAAUGCGUAGAUAUGCGGAGGAACACCGAUGGCGAAGGCAAUCCCCUGGGCCUGUACUGACGCUCAUGCACGAAAGCGUGGGGAUCAAACGGG
RNAcentral lists this ribosomal RNA (253 nucleotides) under uncultured bacterium. Its description in RNAcentral is "partial 16S ribosomal RNA". It matches the Rfam family "Bacterial small subunit ribosomal RNA", at positions 524 to 776 of the family's 1533-position model. The record is from RNAcentral.